AGAGUUUGAUCAUGGCUCAGGACGAACGCUGACGGUGUGCUUUAGACAUGCAAGUCGAACGAGAAAGCCCUUCGGGGUGAGUACAGUGGCGAACGGGUGAGUAACACGUGGGCAAUCUGCCCCUCGCAGGGGGACAACCGGAGGAAACCCCGGCUAAUACCCCGUACGCUUACGGAGCCGCAUGGCUCCGUAAGGAGAGGUAGCUUCGGCCAUCCGGCGAGGGAUGAGCCCGCGGUGCAUUAGCUAGUUGGUGAGGUAACGGCUCACCAAGGCGACGAUGCAUAGCUGGUCUGAGAGGAUGAUCAGCCACACUGGGACUGAGACACGGCCCAGACUCCUACGGGAGGCAGCAGUCGGGAAUCUUGCGCAAUGGGCGAAAGCCUGACGCAGCAACACCGUGUGAGCGACGAAGGCCUUCGGGUCGUAAAGCUCUGUUGUUGGGGACGAAGGGUUAGGGGUUAAUAGCCCCGAGCCUGACGGUACCCUUCGAGGAAGCCCCGGCUAACUACGUGCCAGCAGCCGCGGUAAUACGUAGGGGGCGAGCGUUGUCCGGAAUUAUUGGGCGUAAAGAGCGUGUAGGCGGUUCGGUAAGUCUGCCGUGAAAACCCAGGGCUCAACCCUGGGCGUGCGGUGGAUACUGCCGGGCUAGAGGGUGGUAGAGGCGAGUGGAAUUCCCGGUGUAGCGGUGAAAUGCGCAGAUAUCGGGAGGAACACCAGUAGCGAAGGCGGCUCGCUGGGCCACACCUGACGCUGAGACGCGAAAGCGUGGGGAGCAAACAGGAUUAGAUACCCUAGUAGUCC
RNAcentral lists this ribosomal RNA (801 nucleotides) under uncultured bacterium. RNAcentral describes it as "bacterial SSU rRNA". It matches the Rfam family "Bacterial small subunit ribosomal RNA", at positions 8 to 796 of the family's 1533-position model. The record is from RNAcentral.